RNAcentral lists this ribosomal RNA (435 nucleotides) under uncultured bacterium. RNAcentral's name for it is "partial 16S ribosomal RNA". It matches the Rfam family "Bacterial small subunit ribosomal RNA", at positions 29 to 507 of the family's 1533-position model. The record is from RNAcentral.
AGCGAACGCUGGCGGCAGGCUUAACACAUGCAAGUCGAGCGGGCGUAGCAAUACGUCAGCGGCAGACGGGUGAGGAACGCGUGGGAACGUACCUUUUGGUUCGGAACAACACAGGGAAACUUGUGCUAAUACCGGAUAAGCCCUUACGGGGAAAGAUUUAUCGCCGAAAGAUCGGCCCGCGUCUGAUUAGCUAGUUGGUGAGGUAACGGCUCACCAAGGCGACGAUCAGUAGCUGGUCUGAGAGGAUGAUCAGCCACAUUGGGACUGAGACACGGCCCAAACUCCUGCGGGAGGCAGCAGUGGGGAAUAUUGGACAAUGGGGGCAACCCUGAUCCAGCCAUGCCGCGUGAGUGAUGAAGGCCCUAGGGUUGUAAAGCUCUUUUGUGCGGGAAGAUAAUGACGGUACCGCAAGAAUAAGCCCCGGCUAACUUCGUG